UAAGUUUGGUGUCGAUACGAUAGUUGGCCAAGUUCAAAAAGAAUUUUUGACCUCUCCUAUCCUUUCCCCUCCAGUUACCUCGGUUCAUGCUGUCGAGUCUUCUAGUAAAUCAUCCAAAAGGUCUGAUAAAUCAAAAGAUAUAUUGUAGUGCCCCCAAAUCCGGGUAUCUUCCAACCCGACAGAUGGUGCUAUACUGUACAACAUUCAUACAUUCAUU
This 217-nucleotide long non-coding RNA is filed under the name Panax ginseng (ginseng). RNAcentral's name for it is "long non-coding RNA (PGIN_LNC008980)". The record is from RNAcentral. Lineage: Eukaryota; Viridiplantae; Streptophyta; Magnoliopsida; Apiales; Araliaceae.